CAACAAUCCCUUUUCUUGGAGAUUGAAGAUAAAUUGGCAGCUGCAAAUAAGUUCUUUAGACAAAAAAGAAAUGCAGCUGGUGUGUUGGGAUUCUCCAGUAGACAAAAGUGUACUAUGGCUUUGCGGAUGUUGGCUUAUGGAGGUCCAGCAAAUUUUCUAGAUGAAGGUCUGCGUAUGGGAGAAAGCACAGUCCUUCAAACUAUCAAGGAGUUUGCUAAAACAGUCCUUCAAACAUUUUUCUGCUUAGCUUGUUUCUUCCCUCCUCUGGAUGGCAGUAGUGAUUCCUCAGACGUCAAAUGAAAUUGGGAAGACCUAGCUGAUGUAUCCCCUUCAUCCAUGUUGUACUGCACACACACAACAGCAGUAGUAAUUUGUAACAUAUGCAACAUCAGGGUAGCAAGGUUAAUUUGCUAAUAUUCUUCCAAUCCUACCUCAACAGCAGUAGCAUUAUCUAUAUCUUCAAUUGAAACGGCAUAGCAGGAGGUCCCAUCGUUAUGGUCAAGGAAAUCUUGAAACUCCUCUCCAAACCAACCAUGUUCCAUUCUAAUCAUAGCAAAUAAACUAUGAAUCAAACAAGCCAACAUUAAUCCAGUCUAAACGACCAUGCCUUCCUAGAUCUAGCCAUACAAUAACUAUACAAUCAAACCUAGGGUAGUGGAUCGAUGAGGGGAAGAGGCAGCGACUGGCGGAGCAUACCUUGCAGUUCCUGCUUGGACCUUCAGCUGCAGGAUGGGAAUGGGAGGGUCGGAGGGGACUGCCGGCGCCGGUGCUGUGCAGCUCCUCUUGCUCGCCUGUCG
This 797-nucleotide long non-coding RNA is filed under the name Zea mays. RNAcentral describes it as "long non-coding RNA (ZMAY_LNC000338)". The record is from RNAcentral. Lineage: Eukaryota; Viridiplantae; Streptophyta; Magnoliopsida; Poales; Poaceae.